Molecule: ribosomal RNA, 993 nt
Filed under: Plasmodium inui
Lineage: Eukaryota; Apicomplexa; Aconoidasida; Haemosporida; Plasmodiidae
Description: SSU rRNA
Rfam family: Eukaryotic small subunit ribosomal RNA
Source: RNAcentral
AGCUAAUACUUGCUUUAGCACUCUUGAUUAAGUUCUUGAGUGUGUACUUGUUAAGCCUUUUAAGAAAAAAGUUAUUAACUUAAGGAAUUAUAACAAAGAAGCAACACGUAAAUGGAUUUUCCAUUUUUUAGUGUGUAUCAAUCGAGUUUCUGACCUAUCAGCUUUUGAUGUUAGGGUAUUGGCCUAACAUGGCUAUGACGGGUAACGGGGAAUUAGAGUUCGAUUCCGGGGAGGGAGCCUGAGAAAUAGCUACCACAUCUAAGGAAGGCAGCAGGCGCGUAAAUUACCCAAUUCUAAAGAAGAGAGGUAGUGACAAGAAAUAACAAUACAAGGCCAAUCUGGCUUUGUAAUUGGAAUGAUGGGAAUUUAAAACCUUCCCAAAACUCAAUUGGAGGCAAGUCUGGUGCCAGCAGCCGCGGUAAUUCCAGCUCCAAUAGCGUAUAUUAAAAUUGUUGCAGUUAAAACGCUCGUAGUUGAAUUUCAAAGAAUCGAUAUUUUAAGUAGCACUUUGUAGAUUAAUCCACAUAACUGAUACUACGUAUCGACUUUGUGCGCAUUUUUCUACUUAUGUGUUCUUUUAAUUAAAAUGAUUCUUUUUAAGAUCUUUCUUUUUUGCUUCGGCAUUUUAGGAGAUCUUGUUGCUUUGAGUAAAUUAGAGUGUUCAAAGCAAACAGAUUAUAGCAUCUUUAUGCGUUUGAAUACUACAGCAUGGAAUAACAAAAUUGAACAAGUCAGAAUUUUGUUCUUUUUUCUUAUUUUGGCUUAGUUACGAUUAAUAGGAGUAGCUUGGGGGCAUUUGUAUUCAGAUGUCAGAGGUGAAAUUCUUAGAUUUUCUGGAGACAAACAACUGCGAAAGCAUUUGCCUAAAAUACUUCCAUUAAUCAAGAACGAAAGUUAAGGGAGUGAAGACGAUCAGAUACCGUCGUAAUCUUAACCAUAAACUAUGCCGACUAGGCUUUGGAUGAAAGAUUUUAAAAUAAGAGUUUUUUCUCU